CUGAGCUGCUCCCGGGGCAGUGCUCAGGAGUGCUCAGGAGUGCUCAGGUGUUCCCAGAGGUGCUCAGGAGUGCUCAGGUGUUCCCAGAGGGGUGCUCAAGAGUUCCUAGAUGUUCCCAGAGGGGUGCUCAGAUGGUUCCCAGGGGUGUUCGGGUGUUUCCAGGUGUUCCCAGGGGUGCUUAGGAGUUCCCAGGGGUGCUCAGGUGUUCUCAGGAGUUUCCAGGGGUGCUUGGGUGUUUCCAGGGGUGCUCAGGUGUUUCCAGGUCUUCCCAGGGGGGUGCUUGGAUGUUCCCAGGGGGGUGCUCAGGUGUUCCCAGGGGUGCUCAGGUAUUCCCAGGUGUUCCCAGGGGUGCUCAGGUGUUCCCAGGGGUGCUCAGGAGUUCCCAGGUAUUCUCAGGUGUUCCCAGGGGUGCACAGGAGUUCCCAGGAGUUCUCCGGUGUUCCCAGGUGUUCCCAGGGGUGCUCAGGUGUUCCCAGGGGUGCUCAGGAGUUCCCAGGUGUUCCCAGGAGUUCCCGGGGUGCUCAGGUGUUCCCAGGUGUUCCCAGGUGUUCCCAGGUGUUCCCAGGGGUGCUCAGAUGUUCCCAGGUGUU
Molecule: long non-coding RNA, 590 nt
Organism: Vidua chalybeata
Lineage: Eukaryota; Metazoa; Chordata; Aves; Passeriformes; Viduidae
Exons: 3
Source: RefSeq, a predicted model, not a curated record